This 69-nucleotide transfer RNA is filed under the name Nosodendron sp. BMNH 840466. Its description in RNAcentral is "tRNA-Met". It matches the Rfam family "tRNA". Rfam says of the family: Transfer RNA (tRNA) molecules are approximately 80 nucleotides in length. Their secondary structure includes four short double-helical elements and three loops (D, anti-codon, and T loops). The record is from RNAcentral. Lineage: Eukaryota; Metazoa; Arthropoda; Insecta; Coleoptera; Nosodendridae.
AAAAAAGUAAGCUAAUUAAGCUAAUGGGUUCAUACCCCAUAUAUAAAAGUAAUAAUCUUUUCUUUUUUA